GUACCGUCAGUGCAAUCUGGUAUUAAUCACUUGCACUUUCCUCCCACUCGACAGAGCUUUACGAUCCGAAAACCUUCAUCACUCACGCGGCGUUGCUGCGUCAGGGUUUCCCCCAUUGCGCAAAAAUUCCUCA
This 133-nucleotide ribosomal RNA is filed under the name uncultured bacterium. Its description in RNAcentral is "partial 16S ribosomal RNA". The record is from RNAcentral.